AAUAAAAAAAAAAAAAAAAAACAACUAUAGCUGGCACAUAAAAAACCAACUACAGUUGUAGUUAUUUACAGUGCCACUUUAAUAUUUAUAAUGUUAAUAAAGAUAUAUACUUAUUAAAUAUUGUUCUUUUAUCACCGUGGCAUGUUAAAAUUUUUUAAUUUCUAUGGUAUUUUUUUAAAUUAAUCGCUUUAAUCAUUAAUUUUUUUAAGAAUGUAAUUUACUAUUAAAUUUUAUUUUGUCUAUUUUAAUCAUUAAACUAACCUAUUAGCCAUUGAACAUCUAAAAUUUUUAAAAUUAAAUAAAAAAAUAUACAAAGUAGGAAAUUAUAAGUAAUAAAAAAGAUUAUCAAUUGUCCGUCAAUGAACCCAAGAUAUUAUUUAAAUGUAUUACGUCCCGAAAGAGCGAACUAAUUAAACCUACCCCAAAAGUACCCAAUAUAUAACUGAGGAGAGUAUUGUGUUUCGGUCCCCGUACCAUGUUCCAAGAUAUUAUCAUGCCCAUGUUUGAAAUUGCAAUCAAAAUCAAACAAAACAAGGAACGAAAUGGUGAAGUCGUCUAUAUGUUGGUUUGAUUUUAAUUUAAAGACCAAUUCUCUAAAGCUGCUUGGUUCCUUUUUAGAGUAGUAAACUAGUAGUUCUAGAGUUCCACAGAAUCCAUGCUGUACUCUUCUUUCAUAAUGGAGUGUCCAUAAUGUGGAACAUAAUCUAAGUAGUUUAUGUUUUUUAAACCAAGGUUGCAUUGGAAACUAACAUUAUCUGCAAAAUGAUUCUAUAGAUACUUACAGAAGUGGUUGACAACCAGAUUGUCUCUAUAUUAAGUGGUGAACUAGUUGUCAUUGUUUUUUCCUUUUUUUUGGGCUCACACGCUGCUUCUUGGGAAAUAACUUUCGAUUCAACCUAAUAUUGGAAAUAUUUAAUUUUUUUUACUUACUGAAAAGGACAAUAUUAUGACUAUUUAAAUCUAGAAGAUUUCGCUGUUGUUGGUGUAGAAACUUUUGUUAAAAUGUUUAUCAUGAUGUAAAACCUCCUAGUAUUGCUUCAUGUAGGAAAGUACUAGAAGCUGAACGUUAUAAUUGGGCU
This 1079-nucleotide unclassified non-coding RNA is filed under the name Hevea brasiliensis (rubber tree). Lineage: Eukaryota; Viridiplantae; Streptophyta; Magnoliopsida; Malpighiales; Euphorbiaceae. The record is from RNAcentral.